Cucurbita maxima (winter squash) is the source of this 133-nucleotide long non-coding RNA. RefSeq lists it as uncharacterized. The transcript has 2 exons. The record is from RefSeq and is a predicted model, not a curated record. Lineage: Eukaryota; Viridiplantae; Streptophyta; Magnoliopsida; Cucurbitales; Cucurbitaceae.
ACUCCACGCAUGAUAUGUGAAGAAGUUUGGCCAAGAUCUCAACUCGAAGGCGGAGAUCCAAGAAUCGUCCGAGAACGGGACUAAUUUAAGGAAAUCAGUAUUUUUGGACACCUCACGGGCAAAGAAACGCUAG